Molecule: long non-coding RNA, 326 nt
Organism: Periophthalmus magnuspinnatus
Lineage: Eukaryota; Metazoa; Chordata; Actinopteri; Gobiiformes; Gobiidae
Exons: 3
Source: RefSeq, a predicted model, not a curated record
AACAACGCCAUAACAAUUUUAGUGAAGAAGGAACUGAUACCAGAAAACGAAAAAUAGCUAUAGCAAGUAGUGUGGAGUUUGAUACGCAGGAGCCAAGCCAAAGCAUGUCAGUGGAGGAUGACAGUGCAGAGGAAACCUUACCAGAGGCAGCCAGCACCAGCUCAGAUCAAAACGAUGACACAGAUGAUGACCUUGAAGAUGAAGAUACAUCAGAAGAUAUCAGUGAUGAAAUACCACCAGAGGAAGGCGUACCCUCUGCAGCAGUGACCACCAAGCCAGUAUUGUCUAACACACAAUCAUCGGCAAAACCAUAAAAUACAGUAAUC